ACAGGGUGGUAGCUUCACUCAGAGCGAUGAUCUGCUUGGUCCUAAAGCCAACCCCCGACCUCCAAACAGCGGUGGCAUUUUAAUAGAGAUUGAAAUGAAAGUAAAUUAUAACUUUUUUUGUAGCCUACUUUUAAAUUGUUGGUCUUAAUCUGAGAUGGACAUGCCCAUCUGACGCCCCUGCUUGCACUUAACUCUGUGUGCCUGGUUUCUGAUCUCCGCUCAUACCCAGCUAAAUGCCAAGGGGGGUUUAAUUUGCGCAUUGUGACCGUCGCCGGUCCAGCUACACCUGAACGAAUUACAACUGGAUACCGGUACACGCGCAGCUGGGUCAGAGCCAGGCAGCCAAAGCUCUGGAACAGGUCCGGCUGGAGUGCUAACUAAAUACUGGAGUAGCCUACUAAGCGACACCCAACAUGCAGGUGUUUACGAGGAUGAGCCGAGGAUCACUGACGAUGGAGUUACCGUAAAAGUUGCUCUGGAAGAUUCAACCGGAUCUCGUGAAAACGAGAGAGCGAAGCGGCCACGAACCUGACGAGUUUAGCUAGACUGAGGACCGGUGGCCACGAUUUGGAAGCAGUAAACUCGAAUGAGAGGAGUCCUGGUCCGUUACUGGAUGGAAAGAUUGGGCCGAUCCGAAUUCAAGUGGAACACGGACGAGAGGAGUGGGACUUCGAGAGGAGAAGCCUCAGCCAGCAAAGGAGAUGAUCCCAAACUAACCAGUACUACUUUCGCCAUGACAGGGGACACAACCAUACAGUGGUUUUCUGUUUGGGACAAAACAGCAGCAUCAACAGACUAUGGGAUCCAGCUAUGAGAGGAUGAAUGACAAAGUGGGAUCUAAGACUGUGCUGAGUUACCUGUCUGUCCAUCCAACAAGAGAAAGGAGACGCAUUGGUGAACAAUUGCAAAAUGGAUGUGGAGUGAAAAGUGAAAUACCUGGCGAUGCGAUGGUAUAUUUGAUGAUGUGGAAGUUAUUGACGAUGAUGUGAGCUGUUACGUAACCUCCCCUCGUGGAACUUAGUGCCUGUUAAAACUGAUUCAGGAACAGAUAGACAUGCCCAUGUCCAUAUGAUCCACAUAAACAAUCUCAGAAAGGAAAUGAAUUACACCUACUGAGAGAUGGGUUAUGAGAAGGCUUUGUCCAAUACAUGUUAUUACAUUUUGUAAGAGAAAUAAUGUUUGAUUAGGGUUUAAUCUUGAUUAUGUCGCAUGGCAAGUAACAUUUACUGUGCAGGAAAUCCAAUCAGGUUGGUUAAAGAUGAAUCAUCUUUGGCUGUUUAUACCUUUCCAAACUUCUGCAAUUCCUUUCAUUCUCAACAUUUAAAGUGUAUGCCUUCCAUUAAAUGCAGCAGUGAUAUAGGGGAUAUACAGAGUACAGCUAUACACACAGCUAUACAACAAGCCCUCAAUAGAGAUAUGUCUUAAUAUGAAAUGUAUUACAGUAAAUAUAAAGGGAGCCUGGUUGAAAAGGACUCGCCUAAAUUAUUAUUAGAGAGCUGAGAAACAUUCAGUGUCUCCUUGUUCAGUGGUGAAGUGGUGUAGUGGUGAAGUCCUUCAAUGACUUGUAGCAUUUGUACUUAGUGAGACAGAGACAGAAGAAUCAAAAAUGCAAGGUGAAACGCAAUUUCCACUCAUAAUAAAUGCUGUUGUUUAAUACGAUAUUAUUGAAAAUGAUUAGACCUGGCCUUAGGGCCUUGUCCCAUGUAAUUUGUAGUUUAUAAGACACUGGGUGAAAUAGAGGGGGCUCUUCGCAAAAAAAAAAAAAAGGAACAUUUAAAAAAAGAGACACUGGCACAGAAUCCGCUGUCUGUUUAUUGGCUUUAAUGAAAAACAAUUUUUCUAAAUCACCACCAGGGAGGAUUCCUAGUUAAAGCUGGGGAAAGAGGGGUGGGGAUUAUUCCUAGUUAAAGCUGGGGAAAGA
Oncorhynchus mykiss (rainbow trout) is the source of this 1921-nucleotide non-coding RNA. The record is from RefSeq and is a predicted model, not a curated record. Lineage: Eukaryota; Metazoa; Chordata; Actinopteri; Salmoniformes; Salmonidae.